Molecule: long non-coding RNA, 703 nt
Organism: Drosophila mojavensis
Lineage: Eukaryota; Metazoa; Arthropoda; Insecta; Diptera; Drosophilidae
Exons: 2
Source: RefSeq, a predicted model, not a curated record
GGUUCAAAGAAUAUUUAUGAAUAUAAGAGGGACAUCCAAUGAAAAACUACCAAUUCUUCAUAAACGUAGCGCUAUAGCCUAUUUUAAUACUUAAUACUGAUGUAUAAUCGCAGACAGGUGUCUUUGUUCCGCUUUACUAGUCCAUUUCUCAAGAUCUUCCCCUGUUUCUCUCCGGACAUCUUUAUAGACCAUGUUAUACAACUAUUCAUAAUGAAGCAUUGCUAAUAUUACCAGAAAUAAUUAUAGACUUGUACCUAUUUCAAAUCAAAUCUUCGUUCCGCUCAUGUUUGACCCUAUAUAAGACGACUCGCAAUACACGAAUUGUCUGCAAUCCCAAAAAAAUGUUGCAGACGACGGACAAAAGUUUCGUCGUUGAUCAUUUUCCACCAAUAGAUAAAUUCAAGAGGAUUUUUUCCUUUACAAAAAAUGUUAUAUAUAUAAACAAUAAAUAUAUUUAGGUUUAUAAUUGUUGUAGAAAUUGUGCUAUAAGAUAUGAUAAAAAAAAAAAAUGAAUAAGAUAUUUAAGAAUAUAGAGGCUAUGGAGGAAACAACUAAUCAAAGCUGUUCCUGACGUGCAAUAAUAAUUAAUAUAUGGCUAUAUAUAUAUAGAUAAUUUUUAAGCUCUCUCUUAUAGAGUAAUGGAUAGCCUACUGCGUCGAAUAUCAAGAGUACAAUUAUUAAACAUGCGUUUUUGAAAAGUAAA